ACGAACGCUGGCGGCGUGCUUAACACAUGCAAGUCGAACGGAAAGGCCCUGCUUUUGUGGGGUGCUCGAGUGGCGAACGGGUGAGUAACACGUGAGUAACCUGCCCUUGACUUUGGGAUAACUUCAGGAAACUGGGGCUAAUACCGGAUAGGAGCUCCUGCUGCAUGGUGGGGGUUGGAAAGUUUCGGCGGUUGGGGAUGGACUCGCGGCUUAUCAGCUUGUUGGUGGGGUAGUGGCUUACCAAGGCUUUGACGGGUAGCCGGCCUGAGAGGGUGACCGGCCACAUUGGGACUGAGAUACGGCCCAGACUCCUACGGGAGGCAGCAGUGGGGAAUAUUGCACAAUGGGCGGAAGCCUGAUGCAGCAACGCCGCGUGCGGGAUGACGGCCUUCGGGUUGUAAACCGCUUUCGCCUGUGACGAAGCGUGAGUGACGGUAAUGGGUAAAGAAGCACCGGCUAACUACGUGCCAGCAGCCGCGGUGAUACGUAGGGUGCGAGCGUUGUCCGGAUUUAUUGGGCGUAAAGGGCUCGUAGGUGGUUGAUCGCGUCGGAAGUGUAAUCUUGGGGCUUAACCCUGAGCGUGCUUUCGAUACGGGUUGACUUGAGGAAGGUAGGGGGGAAUGGAAUUCCUGGUGGAGCGGUGGAAUGCGCAGAUAUCAGGAGGAACACCAGUGGCGAAGGCGGUUCUCUGGGCCUUUCCCUGACGCUGAGGAGCGAAAGCGUGGGGAGCGAACAGGCUUAGAUACCCUGGUAGUCCACGCUGUAAACGGUGGGUACUAGGUGUGGGGUCCAUUCCACGGGUUCCGCGCCGUAGCUAACGCUUUAAGUACCCCGCCUGGGGAGUACGGCCGCAAGGCUAAAACUCAAAGGAAUUGACGGGGCCCCGCACAAGCGGCGGAGCAUGCGGAUUAAUUCGAUGCAACGCGUAGAACCUUACCUGGGUUUGACAUGGAUCGGGAGUGCUCAGAGAUGGGUGUGCCUCUUUUGGGGUCGGUUCACAGGUGGUGCAUGGCUGUCGUCAGCUCGUGUCGUGAGAUGUUGGGUUAAGUCCCGCAACGAGCGCAACCCUUGUUCACUGUUGCCAGCACGUUAUGGUGGGGACUCAGUGGAGACCGCCGGGGUCAACUCGGAGGAAGGUGGGGAUGACGUCAAGUCAUCAUGCCCCUUAUGUCCAGGGCUUCACGCAUGCUACAAUGGCUGGUACAGAGAGUGGCGAGCCUGUGAGGGUGAGCGAAUCUCGGAAAGCCGGUCUCAGUUCGGAUUGGGGUCUGCAACUCGACCUCAUGAAGUCGGAGUCGCUAGUAAUCGCAGAUCAGCAACGCUGCGGUGAAUACGUUCCCGGGGCUUGUACACACCGCCCGUCAAGUCAUGAAAGUUGGUAACACCCGAAGCCGGUGGCCUAACCGUUGUGGGGGAGCCGUCGAAGGUGGGACUGGUGAUUAGGACUAAGU
This 1451-nucleotide ribosomal RNA is filed under the name uncultured organism. Its description in RNAcentral is "16S ribosomal RNA". It matches the Rfam family "Bacterial small subunit ribosomal RNA". The record is from RNAcentral.